UACAAAGCUAUGUUGCACCGGCACUUCACAAACAUGCUGUCUUCUGCAGGCAUAUGCAGGUUACAUCAGAUACACGUAUAUUUAUUUUCAAUUUCAAACUAUACAAAAGCCACUUGGAUAUACCGGGAUACUAACAGAGCAAGUACAAGUCAAGCAUAAAGUUAUCAACUGGUGGUUAUGUUUUCUUAUUUGCGGAACUUCGUCAUCGAAUUCUUGAUAAGAUAUUAGGUGCUGAUCGCUGGUUAACCUGUUAUUCACAGAGCAGCAUGCAGUAAGAUAAGGCCCCGGCAUGGACAAGAGGGAGCAGCAUUGGAGCAUGAUCAAACAUGGAGAUGGAAGCAAGCACAAACAAUGAAGACGGAGCCGCAAGUGGAGAUCUCAGGGCAAAAGCCACCAUAGUGAUGCAUGAAUACAUGGAGGAAAUACAGAAGAUGAAAGUUCAUAAUUUCGACCAUGGCUAUCUAUAGAUGCCAAGACCGCUUUAGAACCCCAACUUUCAUCAAUACUUCAUCAUUAUUCACCAUAAUCAUAAUUCUAUUUUCAUA
Molecule: long non-coding RNA, 545 nt
Organism: Hordeum vulgare subsp. vulgare (domesticated barley)
Lineage: Eukaryota; Viridiplantae; Streptophyta; Magnoliopsida; Poales; Poaceae
Exons: 2
Source: RefSeq, a predicted model, not a curated record